This 1565-nucleotide ribosomal RNA is filed under the name Salmonella enterica. Its description in RNAcentral is "partial 23S ribosomal RNA". It matches the Rfam family "Bacterial large subunit ribosomal RNA", at positions 1252 to 2802 of the family's 2925-position model. The record is from RNAcentral. Lineage: Bacteria; Pseudomonadati; Pseudomonadota; Gammaproteobacteria; Enterobacterales; Enterobacteriaceae.
GAAGGUGGCCUGUGAGGGUUGCUGGAGGUAUCAGAAGUGCGAAUGCUGACAUAAGUAACGAUAAAGCGGGUGAAAAGCCCGCUCGCCGGAAGACCAAGGGUUCCUGUCCAACGUUAAUCGGGGCAGGGUGAGUCGACCCCUAAGGCGAGGCCGAAAGGCGUAGUCGAUGGGAAACGGGUUAAUAUUCCCGUACUUGGUGUUACUGCGAAGGGGGGACGGAGAAGGCUAUGUUGGCCGGGCGACGGUUGUCCCGGUUUAAGCGUGUAGGCUGGUUUUCCAGGCAAAUCCGGAAAAUCAAGGCUGAGGCGUGACGACGAGGCACUACGGUGCUGAAGCAACAAAUGCCCUGCUUCCAGGAAAAGCCUCUAAGCAUCAGGUAACACGAAAUCGUACCCCAAACCGACACAGGUGGUCAGGUAGAGAAUACCAAGGCGCUUGAGAGAACUCGGGUGAAGGAACUAGGCAAAAUGGUGCCGUAACUUCGGGAGAAGGCACGCUGACAUGUAGGUGAAGUGAUUUACUCAUGGAGCUGAAGUCAGUCGAAGAUACCAGCUGGCUGCAACUGUUUAUUAAAAACACAGCACUGUGCAAACACGAAAGUGGACGUAUACGGUGUGACGCCUGCCCGGUGCCGGAAGGUUAAUUGAUGGGGUCAGCGCAAGCGAAGCUCCUGAUCGAAGCCCCGGUAAACGGCGGCCGUAACUAUAACGGUCCUAAGGUAGCGAAAUUCCUUGUCGGGUAAGUUCCGACCUGCACGAAUGGCGUAAUGAUGGCCAGGCUGUCUCCACCCGAGACUCAGUGAAAUUGAACUCGCUGUGAAGAUGCAGUGUACCCGCGGCAAGACGGAAAGACCCCGUGAACCUUUACUAUAGCUUGACACUGAACAUUGAGCCUUGAUGUGUAGGAUAGGUGGGAGGCUUUGAAGUGUGGACGCCAGUCUGCAUGGAGCCGACCUUGAAAUACCACCCUUUAAUGUUUGAUGUUCUAACGUGGACCCGUGAUCCGGGUUGCGGACAGUGUCUGGUGGGUAGUUUGACUGGGGCGGUCUCCUCCUAAAGAGUAACGGAGGAGCACGAAGGUUGGCUAAUCCUGGUCGGACAUCAGGAGGUUAGUGCAAUGGCAUAAGCCAGCUUGACUGCGAGCGUGACGGCGCGAGCAGGUGCGAAAGCAGGUCAUAGUGAUCCGGUGGUUCUGAAUGGAAGGGCCAUCGCUCAACGGAUAAAAGGUACUCCGGGGAUAACAGGCUGAUACCGCCCAAGAGUUCAUAUCGACGGCGGUGUUUGGCACCUCGAUGUCGGCUCAUCACAUCCUGGGGCUGAAGUAGGUCCCAAGGGUAUGGCUGUUCGCCAUUUAAAGUGGUACGCGAGCUGGGUUUAGAACGUCGUGAGACAGUUCGGUCCCUAUCUGCCGUGGGCGCUGGAGAACUGAGGGGGGCUGCUCCUAGUACGAGAGGACCGGAGUGGACGCAUCACUGGUGUUCGGGUUGUCAUGCCAAUGGCACUGCCCGGUAGCUAAAUGCGGAAGAGAUAAGUGCUGAAAGCAUCUAAGCACGAAACUUGCCCCGA